This 68-nucleotide transfer RNA is filed under the name Chilo suppressalis (striped riceborer). RNAcentral's name for it is "tRNA-Val". It matches the Rfam family "tRNA". Rfam says of the family: Transfer RNA (tRNA) molecules are approximately 80 nucleotides in length. Their secondary structure includes four short double-helical elements and three loops (D, anti-codon, and T loops). Further hydrogen bonds mediate the characteristic L-shaped molecular structure. tRNAs have two regions of fundamental functional importance: the anti-codon, which is responsible for specific mRNA codon recognition, and the 3' end, to which the tRNAs corresponding amino acid is attached (by aminoacyl-tRNA synthetases). tRNAs cope with the degeneracy of the genetic code in two manners: having more than one tRNA (with a specific anti-codon) for a particular amino acid; and 'wobble' base-pairing, i.e. permitting non-standard base-pairing at the 3rd anti-codon position. Lineage: Eukaryota; Metazoa; Arthropoda; Insecta; Lepidoptera; Crambidae. The record is from RNAcentral.
CAAAUUAGAGCUUGAGGUAAAGUAUUUCAUUUACAUUGAAAAGAUAAUAAUAAUUAUAUUUAAUUUGA